RNAcentral lists this ribosomal RNA (629 nucleotides) under Paraphoma chrysanthemicola. RNAcentral's name for it is "partial large subunit ribosomal RNA". It matches the Rfam family "Eukaryotic large subunit ribosomal RNA", at positions 62 to 706 of the family's 3401-position model. Lineage: Eukaryota; Fungi; Ascomycota; Dothideomycetes; Pleosporales; Phaeosphaeriaceae. The record is from RNAcentral.
AGACCAACAGGGAUUGCCCUAGUAACGGCGAGUGAAGCGGCAACAGCUCAAAUUUGAAAUCUGGCUCUUUCAGAGUCCGAGUUGUAAUUUGCAGAGGGCGCUUUGGUGUUGGCAGCGGUCCAAGUUCCUUGGAACAGGACGUCACAGAGGGUGAGAAUCCCGUACGUGGUCGCUAGCCUUCGCCGUGUAAAGCCCCUUCGACGAGUCGAGUUGUUUGGGAAUGCAGCUCUAAAUGGGAGGUAAAUUUCUUCUAAAGCUAAAUACUGGCCAGAGACCGAUAGCGCACAAGUAGAGUGAUCGAAAGAUGAAAAGCACUUUGGAAAGAGAGUCAAAUAGCACGUGAAAUUGUUGAAAGGGAAGCGCUUGCAGCCAGACUUGCCUGUAGUUGCUUAUCCGGACUUUUGUCCGGUGCACUCUUCUGCGGGCAGGCCAGCAUCAGUUUGGGCGGUUGGAUAAAGGUCUCUGUCAUGUACCUCUCUUCGGGGAGAACUUAUAGGGGAGACGACAUGCAACCAGCCUGGACUGAGGUCCGCGCAUCUGCUAGGAUGCUGGCGUAAUGGCUGUAAGCGGCCCGUCUUGAAACACGGACCAAGGAGUCUAACAUCUAUGCGAGUGUUGGGGGGUGGAAA